UCCGACGCCGACUGAGGCACGAGCGGGUGACGCUGGGCCUGCAGCGCGGAGCAGAAAGCAGAACCGGCAGAGUCCUCCCUGCUGCUGUGUGGACGACACGUGGGCACAGGCAGAAGCGGGCCCUGUGACCAGCUGCACUGGUUUCGUGGAAGGAAGCUCCAGGACUGGCAGGAUGGGCUCAGCCUGUAUCAAAGUCACCAAAUACUUUCUCUUCCUCUUCAACUUGAUCUUCUUUAUCCUGGGUGCAGUGAUCCUGGGCUUCGGGGUGUGGAUCCUGGCCGACAAGAGCAGUUUCAUCUCUGUCCUGCAAACCUCCUCCAGCUCGCUCAGGAUGGGGGCCUACGUCUUCAUCGGCGUGGGGGCAGUCACCAUGCUCAUGGGCUUCCUGGGCUGCAUUGGCGCCGUCAACGAGGUCCGCUGCCUGCUGGGGCUGGUGAGUACGGUUCCCUCCGCAGCUGCCUGCCCAUUUCCUCUCAUCCAGCCGAGUGCAGCCUGACCGCGGCGCUGGCCGUAACACCGGGUGGAGAGCAUCUCUCGAGGCACGCGGGCUGGGUGCACCUGGUCGGGGAUCCUCAGCUGACUUUGCCUGCUCUGUGUCCCCAGUACUUUGCUUUCCUGCUCCUGAUCCUCAUUGCCCAGGUGACGGCCGGGGCCCUCUUCUACUUCAACAUGGGCAAGCUGAAGCAGGAGAUGGGCGGCAUCGUGACUGAGCUCAUUCGAGACUACAACAGCAGUCGCGAGGACAGCCUGCAGGAUGCCUGGGACUACGUGCAGGCUCAGGUGAAGUGCUGCGGCUGGGUCAGCUUCUACAACUGGACGGACAACGCUGAGCUCAUGAAUCGCCCUGAGGUCACCUACCCCUGUUCCUGCAAAGACAAGGGGGAAGAGGACAACAGCCUUUCCGUAAGGAAGGGCUUCUGCGAGGCCCCCGGCAACAGGACCCAGAGUGGCAACCACCCUGAGGACUGGCCUGUGUACCAGCAGGGCUGCAUGGAGAAGGUGCAGGCGUGGCUGCAGGAGAACCUGGGCAUCAUCCUCGGCGUGGGCGUGGGUGUGGCGGUCAUUGAGCUCCUGGGGAUGCUCCUGUCCAUCUGCUUGUGCCGGCACGUCCAUUCCGAAGACUACAGCAAGGUCCCCAAGUACUGAGCCAGCUGCUAUCCCCAUCUCCCUGCCUGGCCCCUGACCUCAGGGCUCCCAGGGGUCUCCCUGGCUCCCUCCUCCAGGCCUGCCUCCCACUUCACUGCGAAGACCCUCUUGCCCACCCUGACUGAAAGUAGGGGGCUUUCUGGGGCCUAGCGAUCUCUCCUGGCCUAUCCGCUGCCAGCCUUGAGCCCUGGCUGUUCUGUGGUUCCUCUGCUCACUGCCCAUCAGGGUUCUCUUAGCAACUCAGAGAAAAAUGCUCC
Molecule: small RNA, 1403 nt
Filed under: Pongo abelii (Sumatran orangutan)
Lineage: Eukaryota; Metazoa; Chordata; Mammalia; Primates; Hominidae
Description: retained intron
Source: RNAcentral